UGACGGGACGCCCGGCCCAUGCACAGGCGGCCCCGGGCCUCCCACUGCCUCCCCGGGGCCUGUCGCUGCCCGGGAGCGGGCGGAUGUGGGCGCCCCGCAGGAGGCCGGAGCCCUUCGGCCCCGGAACCAGCCCGGGCCGCCAGCGGGCCAGAGCCCCAGCGAGCGGGCGCGGUCCAGGGCGCGCAGAGGACCCAGCCAGCCGGACCGGCCGGAGACCCAGCCGCAGCCGCAGCCGCAGCCGCAGCCGCAGCCGGAGCCGGAGCCGAGGCGGGCAGCACAGGGACUCCAUCCGGGCACCGCUUUUGUCUGAGCCACACUGACCCUCAGCCAUCUGGUCUACGAGAGACUGAAUCUCUUCUUCCUCACAAUCGUUCAACAAAAGGAACAUCUACUGUCUCGUACUUCAGGAAACCCUCGUAGAGGCAGGAUGAGCCACCAUCUACCAUAGAGGAAGCCAUCAUCACCCAAAGAGAGUACAGUGGAGCCUGGGACAGACUCAGGGGACACCAAAUGAACGGUAGAAGGCUCCUGGCUUCUUCUCCAAAAUGUGGCACUGCACAUCUGGAGUGAUCUGCGCAUCUGGCUGCAUCCCUAGGGCAAUGGCCACAGCUGCUGACAUUUGAGGGAGGAGAGGGCCAGUUCCUCAGCAGGGCCUAGGGGGCUAUAAAUAACCAGCUAAGAGGGCCAAGGGAACCAGGUUGACCUUUGGGGGGCAGGAGCUACAGGCAAUGUCCCCCUCCCACUUGGGUCCAGAGCCAAAGUUUUAGCAAAACAGGAAGAGGCAGUUGCUGGGAAAGUAGGAGUGGCUCCCCUUCCCCCACUUGCCUGGAGCCUUAGGAUCCCAGCCAGGACCUGGGAGAGGUGGAGUCAGCUAGGCUGGAGGGAGGGGCAGGCUCCACAGACCGAUGGGCCUAGUCCCUGCCCUCCUGUGGCUCAGCUGGGCACAGGCAGGAAUGAGAAGGGAAGCCUAGUGGAGUGUGCCUGUCUCCUCCCUGCCUCCUUCUCUUUCCUUCCUGUUCCCCACCAGUGGACAUAAAGGUUAGGCAUGGAGCAAGCACCAAACGUGCCUAAGAUGCAAGUCGUGUAUUUGGAGGCCCAGGGUCAAGGUGAGGUCACCUCCAUUUCCAUCCUUCAUCAGCAGGUAGCUAGGCUGAGACUAAUUUCAAGUGGGUGGGAAUGGGGGACUCCAGACAGGAGGAGAGACACCUCCAGCCUUCUGGAAAGGAGACAGAGGAGGGGCAGAAGCUGGUCCAAGAGGAAUGGUGGAGAACUGACCUGUGAGCUAGAGGAGAUAGAAAGCUAGGGCAGUCCUUGUUGCUGUACACAGGGCAGACUCCAGGAAGCUAAGCUCCAGCUCAGAAGCAAGCCAGGCUGGAGGAAUUUUCUAACAAAUGUAUUGCUCUGCUUUGUGUGGGGGAGGCUGGGCCCUGAGAGUCUGCAGACAUCUAGUCGGUGCUUUGCCUGGUCCACGUCUUUAGGGAGCUUAGUAUUCAAAUGCAUUGGGUCAUCACUGGCUCCUUAACCUUUAGUCCAUGUUUCCCUGCUGGAUAGUCUAGACCAGAACCAUCCAGUAGAAGCAGAGUAAAGUCAGUGUGUGUAAGUUUACAUAUUCUACUUGUCAUUCCUACAAAUUAAAAAAUAGAUGAUUAAUAGUAUAUUUACUUAAUAUUUAUUUGAAGGCAUCAUUUCAUAUCAUCAAAAUAGAAAGUUUUUGUCUUCUUCUUCUUCUUUUUUCCUACCAAGUCCUUGAAAUCCAGAGCGUAUAUUUCACUUACAACAUAUUUCAGUUCUGACUGGCCGCUGUGUCUGUGGCUACUGUGGGGACAGCACAGGUUUAUGACUUUGAGCUUAAGCCCUUUGUCCCCUAGAAAGAACCAAGGAGGUAGCCAGCAAGGUCAGUGUCAUAGGUUUAUUUACUCUAAUAGAAUGGCUGCUCAUGUCUCUAGACCUGAGAUCAGUUCUAAUACAUAUGCAAGCAGGAAAACUGAGUCAAGGAGCAGCUGGCACUCUCAUCCCCUUCCCAGGCCUCUUCCUCUGGGCUGAAGAUCGGGAGAAUCUCACUUCUUCUUUAACAACACUAGCCUGGGUCUGGAGAGAUGACUCACCAGCUAAGAGUUCUUGCUGCAUUUGCUGCCCUUCCAGAGGGCCCUGGUUCAGUUCCCAGCACCCACAUGACUGCUAACCACCACCUAUAACCCCAGGUCUAGGAAUCCAAUGUCUUCUUAACCUCACAGGCAACAGGCACGCAUGUGCUGUGCUUAAAUUAAAUGUAUGUAAGUAGACUAAUACAAACAAAAUAAAU
Molecule: non-coding RNA, 2302 nt
Organism: Arvicanthis niloticus (Nile rat)
Lineage: Eukaryota; Metazoa; Chordata; Mammalia; Rodentia; Muridae
Source: RefSeq, a predicted model, not a curated record